AGAGUUCGAUCAUGGCUCAGAUUGAACGCUGGCGGUAGGCUUAACACAUGCAAGUCGUGCGAGAAAGUAUCUUCGGAUAUGAGUAAAGCGGCGGACGGGUGAGUAACGCGUAGGAAUCUACCUAGUAGAAGGGGAUAGCCCGAGGAAACUCGGAUUAAUACCGUAUACCUCCUUUGGGAGAAAGAGAGCCUCUCUUUGAAGCUUUCGCUACUAGAUGAGCCUGCGUAAGAUUAGCUUGUUGGUGAGGUAAAGGCUCACCAGGGCUACGAUCUUUAGCGGGUCUGAGAGGACGAUCCGCCACAUUGGGACUGAGACACGGCCCAGACUCCUACGGGAGGCAGCAGUGGGGAAUAUUGGACAAUGGGCGCAAGCCUGAUCCAGCCAUACCGCGUGUGUGAAGAAGGCUCUAGGGUUGUAAAGCACUUUAAGUUGGGAAGAAAAGUUAUUGGCUAAUAUCCAAUAACCGUGACAUUACCAUCAGAAUAAGGACCGGCUAAUUCCGUGCCAGCAGCCGCGGUAAUUC
Molecule: ribosomal RNA, 523 nt
Filed under: uncultured bacterium
Lineage: Bacteria
Description: bacterial SSU rRNA
Rfam family: Bacterial small subunit ribosomal RNA
Source: RNAcentral